This 700-nucleotide ribosomal RNA is filed under the name uncultured bacterium. RNAcentral describes it as "bacterial SSU rRNA". It matches the Rfam family "Bacterial small subunit ribosomal RNA", at positions 8 to 718 of the family's 1533-position model. The record is from RNAcentral.
AGAGUUUGAUCCUGGCUCAGGACGAACGCUGGNGGCGUGCUUAACACAUGCAAGUCGAACGGUGACCUCGGAGCUUGCUCCGAGUGAUCAGUGGCGAACGGGUGAGUAACACGUGAGUAACCUGCCCCUGGCUCUGGGAUAACCCCGGGAAACCGAGGCUAAUACCGGAUAUGACACGGAGAGGCAUCUCUACCGUGUGGAAAGUUUUUCGGCCAGGGGAUGGACUCGCGGCCUAUCAGCUUGUUGGUGAGGUAACGGCUCACCAAGGCGACGACGGGUAGCCGGCCUGAGAGGGCGACCGGCCACACUGGGACUGAGACACGGCCCAGACUCCUACGGGAGGCAGCAGUGGGGAAUAUUGCGCAAUGGGCGAAAGCCUGACGCAGCGACGCCGCGUGAGGGAUGAAGGCCUUCGGGUUGUAAACCUCUUUCAGCAGGGAAGAAGCGAAAGUGACGGUACCUGCAGAAGAAGCACCGGCUAACUACGUGCCAGCAGCCGCGGUAAUACGUAGGGUGCAAGCGUUGUCCGGAAUUAUUGGGCGUAAAGAGCUCGUAGGCGGUUUGUCGCGUCUGGUGUGAAAAUCCAGGGCUUAACCCUGGACCUGCAUCGGGUACGGGCAGACUANAGUGCGGUAGGGGAGAUCGGAAUUCCUGGUGUANCGGUGAAAUGCGCANAUAUCANGAGGAACCCCGGUGGCGA